GACGAACCGUGCGAACGUUGUUCGGAAUUACUGGGCGUAAAGCGCGUGUAGGCGGUUGUUCAAGUCAGGUGUGAAAGCCUUGAGCUCAACUCAAGAAAUGCACUUGAUACUGGAUGACUAGAGGACCGGAGAGGAUAGUGGAAUUCCCAGUGUAGUGGUGAAAUACGUAGAGAUUGGGAAGAACACCAGUGGCGAAGGCGGCUAUCUGGACGGUUUCUGACGCUAAGACGCGAAAGCGUGGGGAGCAAACAGG
This 253-nucleotide ribosomal RNA is filed under the name uncultured bacterium. RNAcentral describes it as "partial 16S ribosomal RNA". It matches the Rfam family "Bacterial small subunit ribosomal RNA", at positions 524 to 776 of the family's 1533-position model. The record is from RNAcentral.